RNAcentral lists this ribosomal RNA (1483 nucleotides) under Staphylococcus sp. BAB-4862. Its description in RNAcentral is "bacterial SSU rRNA". It matches the Rfam family "Bacterial small subunit ribosomal RNA". The record is from RNAcentral. Lineage: Bacteria; Bacillati; Bacillota; Bacilli; Caryophanales; Staphylococcaceae.
GCUCAGGAUGAACGCUGGCGGCGUGCCUAAUACAUGCAAGUCGAGCGAACAGACAAGGAGCUUGCUCCUUUGACGUUAGCGGCGGACGGGUGAGUAACACGUGGGUAACCUACCUAUAAGACUGGGAUAACUUCGGGAAACCGGAGCUAAUACCGGAUAAUAUUUCGAACCGCAUGGUUCGAUAGUGAAAGAUGGUUUUGCUAUCACUUAUAGAUGGACCCGCGCCGUAUUAGCUAGUUGGUAAGGUAACGGCUUACCAAGGCGACGAUACGUAGCCGACCUGAGAGGGUGAUCGGCCACACUGGAACUGAGACACGGUCCAGACUCCUACGGGAGGCAGCAGUAGGGAAUCUUCCGCAAUGGGCGAAAGCCUGACGGAGCAACGCCGCGUGAGUGAUGAAGGUCUUCGGAUCGUAAAACUCUGUUAUUAGGGAAGAACAUACGUGUAAGUAACUAUGCACGUCUUGACGGUACCUAAUCAGAAAGCCACGGCUAACUACGUGCCAGCAGCCGCGGUAAUACGUAGGUGGCAAGCGUUAUCCGGAAUUAUUGGGCGUAAAGCGCGCGUAGGCGGUUUUUUAAGUCUGAUGUGAAAGCCCACGGCUCAACCGUGGAGGGUCAUUGGAAACUGGAAAACUUGAGUGCAGAAGAGGAAAGUGGAAUUCCAUGUGUAGCGGUGAAAUGCGCAGAGAUAUGGAGGAACACCAGUGGCGAAGGCGACUUUCUGGUCUGUAACUGACGCUGAUGUGCGAAAGCGUGGGGAUCAAACAGGAUUAGAUACCCUGGUAGUCCACGCCGUAAACGAUGAGUGCUAAGUGUUAGGGGGUUUCCGCCCCUUAGUGCUGCAGCUAACGCAUUAAGCACUCCGCCUGGGGAGUACGACCGCAAGGUUGAAACUCAAAGGAAUUGACGGGGACCCGCACAAGCGGUGGAGCAUGUGGUUUAAUUCGAAGCAACGCGAAGAACCUUACCAAAUCUUGACAUCCUUUGACAACUCUAGAGAUAGAGCCUUCCCCUUCGGGGGACAAAGUGACAGGUGGUGCAUGGUUGUCGUCAGCUCGUGUCGUGAGAUGUUGGGUUAAGUCCCGCAACGAGCGCAACCCUUAAGCUUAGUUGCCAUCAUUAAGUUGGGCACUCUAAGUUGACUGCCGGUGACAAACCGGAGGAAGGUGGGGAUGACGUCAAAUCAUCAUGCCCCUUAUGAUUUGGGCUACACACGUGCUACAAUGGACAAUACAAAGGGCAGCGAAACCGCGAGGUCAAGCAAAUCCCAUAAAGUUGUUCUCAGUUCGGAUUGUAGUCUGCAACUCGACUACAUGAAGCUGGAAUCGCUAGUAAUCGUAGAUCAGCAUGCUACGGUGAAUACGUUCCCGGGUCUUGUACACACCGCCCGUCACACCACGAGAGUUUGUAACACCCGAAGCCGGUGGAGUAACCAUUUGGAGCUAGCCGUCGAAGGUGGGACAAAUGAUUGGGGUGAAGU